GCCAGACUCCUACGGGAGGCAGCAGUGGGGAAUAUUGCACCGUGGGGGGAACCCUGCUGCAGCGAUGCCGCGUGGAGGACGACGGUUUUCGGAUUUUCCCCUCCUUUUAUCCUUGACGAUAAUGCCGGUACCUGACUCCCCCGCUCCGGCUCCCUCCGUGCCAUCCUCCUCGGUAAUCCUUCUUGGGCAAGCUUUCUCCGGAUUUCCUGGGUGUAAAGGGAGCGUAGACGGCAGCGCAAGUCUGAAGUGAAAUCCCAGGGAGUAACCAUGGAACUGCUUUGGAAACUGUGCAGCCGGAGUGCAGGAGAGGGAAGCGGAAUGCCUAGUGUAGCGGUGAAAUGCGUAGAGAGGAGGAGGAACACCAGUGGCGAAGGCGGCUUACUGGACUGUAACUGACGUUGAGGCUCGAAAGCGUGGGGAGCAAACAGGAUUAGAUACCCUAGUA
Molecule: ribosomal RNA, 445 nt
Filed under: uncultured bacterium
Lineage: Bacteria
Description: bacterial SSU rRNA
Rfam family: Bacterial small subunit ribosomal RNA
Source: RNAcentral